This 1493-nucleotide ribosomal RNA is filed under the name Lacticaseibacillus casei. RNAcentral describes it as "bacterial SSU rRNA". It matches the Rfam family "Bacterial small subunit ribosomal RNA". The record is from RNAcentral. Lineage: Bacteria; Bacillati; Bacillota; Bacilli; Lactobacillales; Lactobacillaceae.
ACGCUGGCGGCGUGCCUAAUACAUGCAAGUCGAACGAGUUCUCGUUGAUGAUCGGUGCUUGCACCGAGAUUCAACAUGGAACGAGUGGCGGACGGGUGAGUAACACGUGGGUAACCUGCCCUUAAGUGGGGGAUAACAUUUGGAAACAGAUGCUAAUACCGCAUAGAUCCAAGAACCGCAUGGUUCUUGGCUGAAAGAUGGCGUAAGCUAUCGCUUUUGGAUGGACCCGCGGCGUAUUAGCUAGUUGGUGAGGUAAUGGCUCACCAAGGCGAUGAUACGUAGCCGAACUGAGAGGUUGAUCGGCCACAUUGGGACUGAGACACGGCCCAAACUCCUACGGGAGGCAGCAGUAGGGAAUCUUCCACAAUGGACGCAAGUCUGAUGGAGCAACGCCGCGUGAGUGAAGAAGGCUUUCGGGUCGUAAAACUCUGUUGUUGGAGAAGAAUGGUCGGCAGAGUAACUGUUGUCGGCGUGACGGUAUCCAACCAGAAAGCCACGGCUAACUACGUGCCAGCAGCCGCGGUAAUACGUAGGUGGCAAGCGUUAUCCGGAUUUAUUGGGCGUAAAGCGAGCGCAGGCGGUUUUUUAAGUCUGAUGUGAAAGCCCUCGGCUUAACCGAGGAAGCGCAUCGGAAACUGGGAAACUUGAGUGCAGAAGAGGACAGUGGAACUCCAUGUGUAGCGGUGAAAUGCGUAGAUAUAUGGAAGAACACCAGUGGCGAAGGCGGCUGUCUGGUCUGUAACUGACGCUGAGGCUCGAAAGCAUGGGUAGCGAACAGGAUUAGAUACCCUGGUAGUCCAUGCCGUAAACGAUGAAUGCUAGGUGUUGGAGGGUUUCCGCCCUUCAGUGCCGCAGCUAACGCAUUAAGCAUUCCGCCUGGGGAGUACGACCGCAAGGUUGAAACUCAAAGGAAUUGACGGGGGCCCGCACAAGCGGUGGAGCAUGUGGUUUAAUUCGAAGCAACGCGAAGAACCUUACCAGGUCUUGACAUCUUUUGAUCACCUGAGAGAUCAGGUUUCCCCUUCGGGGGCAAAAUGACAGGUGGUGCAUGGUUGUCGUCAGCUCGUGUCGUGAGAUGUUGGGUUAAGUCCCGCAACGAGCGCAACCCUUAUGACUAGUUGCCAGCAUUUAGUUGGGCACUCUAGUAAGACUGCCGGUGACAAACCGGAGGAAGGUGGGGAUGACGUCAAAUCAUCAUGCCCCUUAUGACCUGGGCUACACACGUGCUACAAUGGAUGGUACAACGAGUUGCGAGACCGCGAGGUCAAGCUAAUCUCUUAAAGCCAUUCUCAGUUCGGACUGUAGGCUGCAACUCGCCUACACGAAGUCGGAAUCGCUAGUAAUCGCGGAUCAGCACGCCGCGGUGAAUACGUUCCCGGGCCUUGUACACACCGCCCGUCACACCAUGAGAGUUUGUAACACCCGAAGCCGGUGGCGUAACCCUUUUAGGGAGCGAGCCGUCUAAGGUGGGACAAAUGAUUAGGGGUGAAGUC